This 5941-nucleotide unclassified non-coding RNA is filed under the name Hevea brasiliensis (rubber tree). Lineage: Eukaryota; Viridiplantae; Streptophyta; Magnoliopsida; Malpighiales; Euphorbiaceae. The record is from RNAcentral.
CAAAAUCGCAGUUCAUUUUUCAUCCUCUGAAGUUGCUGCUCUCCUCUCACUUACUGCUUUGUUCUCUCUCAAAUCACAGCAACAAAUCACUCUCUUGUAGCCUUUUUUUUUGUUGGGAUUCAGGAAGACAUUCAAGGCUAGAGCUUGUUAUUUGUUACCGGACUUUAUGCUGUUGGUCUGGUUUAAUUCCGAUUGAAUCUUAAACCCUUAAUCCUUUCCCUUAACCAGCUUUUAGACCAGACUGAGUCUGAAAACCAUGGUUGUAAGUUGAGAAAUGCUGAGUGGUUUGUUCCUUCCAUCCUGUUAUUGGCUUCCCUUCAGCUUCUUGAAGAAGAAGAAAAAGCAUGGACCCAAAGAAGCCAGAGUCAAAAAAACACGCGUCAGCGGAAGCAGUAGACAUUAGCGGAAACCGUAAAUUUAUAUUUAUGGAAAUGUGAAUACUUUUGCUAACCAUAGCAAUUGAAGAAGCUUUUCCUUCUCUCUUAUAUUUUGCUCAAAAAAGUUUUGCUUCACCGUAAGCAGUUGGAAAUUUUUCUGUAGAGCCAAGUUUGGGAUGCGUUUGUGGGGGCAAGAAAGGGUGCAAUUGAAGGUCUUUGGAUUGUUUUCACUUUCACUUUUUCUAUUAGGCAUGAAACAGUGAAAUGGUAGCUGAAUGUAAAGUAAGGAAGACAAGCUGUUUGCCAAUAUGCUUGACCCAGAUUCUAGUGCCUGCUGUUAUGGGGGUUUUAGGCAUAUACGUGAUCACAGAGUUCUUGCAUGCAUUCUCAAAUCCUGUGCUGCACUCUCAUCCAUAAAAUGGGGCAAGGCCCUUCACAGCAGCAUUCUAAAAAUAGGCCACCUAUCCUCCCAUGAUGUGUUGAAAGUGCUGCUUAACAUGUAUGCAAAGUGUGGAGCUCUUAGUGAUUGCAAGAAACUAUUUGGUGAAGUAGGUUAUUGUGAUCAUGAUCCCGUCUUCUGGAAUAUUCUCUUAUCUGGGUUUGCUGGGUCUCGGAAUUAUGAUGCUGAGGCCUUAAGGUUGUUUAAUAGAAUGCAUGUUUCCAAUGAAGUAAAGCCUAGUUCUGUUACCGCGGCCAUUAUUCUUCCUGUUUGUGCUCGCAUGAGAGAUAUAUACGCAGGUAAGUGUGUGCACUGUUAUAUGAUUAAAGUUGGAAUGGAGACGCAUACACUUGUUGGAAACUCUCUGGUGUCAAUGUAUGCUAAAUGCGGGCUAGUUCACAAUGAUGCAUAUGUGGCUUUUGAUAGCAUUAAUGACAAAGAUGUCAUUUCAUGGAAUGCCAUCAUUGCUGGGUUUUCUGAGAAUAAGUUGAUGGACAAUGCCUUCAGAUUAUUUAUUUUGAUGCUGAAAAGUAAAAUAAAACCAAAUCAUGCAACUAUCGCUAAUAUUCUGCCCGUUUGUGCAUCUUUGGAUAGGAAUAUUGCCUACUGCUUUGGGAAAGAGAUACACUGUUAUGCCCUGCGGCACAAUGAGUUGUUAGCAGAUGUUUCUGUCUGUAAUGCUUUGGUGAGCUUCCACUUGAUAGUUGGACGGCUAAAGGAAGCAGAAUUAUUGUUUCAAAGGAUGGAAUUGAAAGAUUUGAUUUCAUGGAAUGCUAUCAUUUCAGGAUAUGCAUUCAAUGGUGAGUGGUCCAAAGCUUUGGAAUUAUUUCAAGAAUUACUUUCUUCAGAGAUGAGUGGGCCAGAUUCUGUAACCCUAGUCAGUAUUCUUCCUGCCUGUGCACAGCUUAAAAACUUGAAGGUGGGUAGAGAGAUCCAUAGUUAUGUUCUUCGACAUCCUUACUUAUGUCAGGAUACAUCUAUUGGGAAUGCUCUAGUUAGUUUUUAUGCAAAAUGUGACAGCAUAGAAGCAGCAUACCAUACAUUUUUAAUGAUUUCUAUUAAAGAUUUGAUAUCAUGGAAUUCUAUGCUUGAUGCCUUUGCAGAGAGUGGACACAAUAUUAAGUUUUUGGAAUUGUUACAUUGGAUGCUUAAGGAAGGAAUUAGACCUGAUUCCAUUACCAUCUUAACCAUACUUCAUUUUUGUGCUUACCUCUUAAAAGUAGAUAAGGUUAAAGAGACUCAUUGCUAUUCACUUAGGCAUGGCCUUUUGCUGUCUGAUGUUGAACCUACUACUAGAAAUGCAGUGCUUGACACAUAUGCCAAAUGUGGUAACAUUGAGUAUGCAUUUAAGGUUUUCGAGAAUUUAUCAAAUAACAGGAAUUUGGUUACUUUUAAUUCAAUGAUCUCAGGCUAUGUAAAAUGUGGAUUAUAUGAUGAUGCAUGUAUGAUUUUCAACAAGAUGACUGCCACUGACCUCACUACUUGGAAUCUAAUGAUUCGAGGGUAUGCUGAAAAUGAUUGUCCUGAUCAGGCUUUUAGUCUGUUCCAUCAGCUACAAGCUAGAGGAAUGAAGCCUGAUGCAGUUACCAUUAUGAGUCUCCUUCCAGCCUGUGCUCAAAUUGCUUCGGUACAUUUGGUGAAGCAGUGUCAUGGAUAUGUGGUUAGAGCUUGUUUUGAUGAUGUCCACUUAGAAGGAGCUCUUUUAGAUGUAUAUGCUAAAUGUGGCAGUAUAGGUUAUGCUUCUAAGCUUUUCCAAUCAAACGCAGGAAGAGAUUUAGUUAUAUUCACUGCCAUGGUUGGUGGGUAUGCCAUGCAUGGAAUGGGAGUGGAAGCACUUGGGAUUUUCUCUCAUAUGCUUGAGUUGGGAACAAAGCCAGAUCACAUUAUCAUCACAGCUGUUUUAUCUGCUUGCCGUCAUGCUGGCCUUGUGGAUGAAGGGUUGAAGAUAUUCUAUUCAAUAGAGAAGCUACAUGGAAUGAGUCCAACCAUGGAACAGUAUUCUUGCGUGGUGGAUCUCCUUGCACGGGGAGGCCGAAUUCAUGAUGCUUAUUCUUUUGUGACGGGAAUGCCCAUUGAAGCUAAUGCAAAUGUAUGGGGGACAUUGUUAGGUGCCUGCAGGAUGUAUCAUGAGGUGGAAUUAGGACGUGCUGUGGCAGAACACCUAUUUAAAAUUGAAGCAAAGAAUAUUGGGAACUAUGUACUUCUAUCAAAUCUAUUUGCAGCAGAUGCUAGAUGGGAUGAGGUUAUGGAAAUAAGAAAACUAAUGAAAAUGAGAUACCUAAAAAAGCCAGCUGGAUGCAGUUGGAUCGAAGUAGAGAGAAGAAAGAAUGUCUUUGUAGCUGGCGACUCUUCUCACCCUCAGAGGAGCAACAUUUACACUAUAUUAAGCACCUUGGAUUUGCAAAUCAAGGAGUCAUUUCAGUUAAACCAACAGCCACGCUCACAUCUUUCACAAUGCUGCAAGUGAAUUAUAAAUUUUGAAAGGCAUAAUUCUACUACUUUGUUGUGCACACAGACACCUCUUGGGUGACUAAUCACUAAAAUUCAACAAUGAAAUUUUUGCUGGUAAAAAAUUUUAAUGCAUAUUCUCCCAACUUCUGCCUGAAUCCAAGGGAUGGUUUACUCUGCAACUAUUUUGUUAUAUUUCUGACUUCAAAUGAAUAACUAGCUCAUUUAAUUGGACUUGGGGGCCAAAUUCUAUUACUUAUUGUCUUUUUUUUUUUUCCCCUAAGUUGUACUUGGCCUGUUAUUAAACUUAGAGCAGAGAAGAAUAAUCCUGAAGAAAGGCCAGUAUGCUGUAUAGGAAAGUUGGCCAGGUCUCAGUGGGGAUGUUAGUGAAUGCCUCAAAUUUGCACUUAAUCGCCUGUAUAUUUACUUCUUUGCAGGAAAAAAAAUGAAGUUCAAGCAGGCAGAGGUGCAAUGUCAAAAACUACAAAUCACGGUUUCUCACUUGAUUUGGGGGAUGUCAAUGGAAAUAAAGAAAGUAGUUCUGGUUCUGCAUAUCCUGGUCUAGAUCGAGGAGAUGGAUGCAAGUAAAAUCGCCUCUCUUUGAUUGCUUUAUCUUCUUCCUCACUAUUUAAAUCAGAAAUUGCUGAUUCUCCUUUGUUCUCUGGUUCUUGUAUUGACAGUUUGGAGAAAUUUGUAGAAGGGGUGCCCACAGGACUUGGGAGAAGAGAAGGAUUCCGUGAUGUGGUUGGGGAAGUCAAAGGUUUGAAGUUGACUGGGGGUUUAACUAUCUCAAGCUUGGGCCUUGUGUACUGCCUUCUUUCAUGGAGUUUAGAUGUUGGUCUCUUUAUGCCUGCAACCUUUGUAGCUGCUGUUCCCUGGGCUGGAUCACUCUCUGCUGGGCCUGUUAACCGCUGCACAACCUCUCGAAAAGCAUUUGUAUCUGUUUGCACAAAAGUGGUCAAAGGCUUACAACCAGCUGCACCUUGGUUUGCCUUCUUCUCCAUGGGUGUGUAUAUCAUGAACAACUUGUGUCAAUGAUCUGCAGCAAGUUCCAGUGUAUGAAACGGUAAACGGUCUCAUUUAAAGGACUCAGAUUUGGUUAGGCAGAAUUUAAGCAUCUAAAGAGUGAAUGGUAUUGCAUUGGAGUGGCAAAACAAUGUGUUUGUAUAGAUAUAUUAUUACUAAACUAAUUGAUAUGCUUGCUAGAAUCUUGACCUACCUAACUUAAUCCAGUCUAGAGCAGUCGUGUCUAAAUUGCAAGAGCUCAUAGAUCAUAGUCACAUUCAGCCUUCCAAAAAACUGAAAGGAGGUAGGAUUUUAUUAUAGUGAAGUGGGAUUUGGGUACACUAAGGUCGAGGUUUUUAUCCAAUUUAGAAAUUGUCUAUUAAGUGGUCAAUACAGGAUCUUGUGCAUAUCAGAGUUUGAAUGCUGGAUGCUAGCCAGAUCAUUAAGCCAACAUUUUUCUGAAGAUAAAAGGAACAGAGGUAAUUUUAGAAUGUCCUGUGCUGCUCUUGUUGAGAAGCUGCCCAUUCAAUAACACAGCUUAAAUUUGAGAUAUAAAUGCUGUGCAAAUUUUGCAUUUUUGAAAAAAAAAAAAAUUUGACUAGAUAAUAAAAUGUAUAAAUUAGUGGUGCUUUAGUUUUUCCUAUGUCUUUUACCUUCCUGAUCUUCCAGUCUGCAGACUGCUAACUUGAUAAUAGUAUGUUAAGAUCUCCAUUGGUACGAGGCGGGGUGGACAAUUUAUAGGAAAUGGGAGUGGCAUAUUUUUUUGAUAUAACUGAAAGAGUUGAUGGUUUUUAGACCUUAGCAGCAAGGAAGAAAACAGUGUAGAGAAAUAAAUAUGUACUUUGAAAACAUACACAAAUCUAUAUGCUCCCUAUCUUUCUAAUUCUAGCAGGGAGGUGGAUUAUGAAUUUAUGUUGAUAGGCUUCUUUUGAAAAUGGUGAUAUAUUGCUUUUUGCAUGAUGUGAUAGAGAUUAGAGACUCCUUCCUAUUUUUCUUUUGACUAUUGAAAAACUUGUGAUUCUUUCCUCUUCUUUUUCUCUAGCAGCGCACCUUCCUUCCUCCCCCAUUUUCAUUUAGAUAAAUGAAACAAUCGCCUAUCAUAACUCUUGCCCUGUCAGCCAUUGAUCUUAUACGUAGGGCACACUAGAGUCAACCACUGACAUGGUGCAGCUUGAGCAGACAAAAUUGCAUCAAGCAAUCUAGGAACGUGAAAUUGACAUCCAAAGGAAGGGGGAAAAAGAGGAAAUUCUACAAGAAAAGACCAUACCUGGUUCUCCACCACUGCAAGAAUUGAAAUUUCUGGCAAUUUGAGCAAGGAACUUGCAGAAAGAGAUGAAAGAAGAAAAGAAAUGUAGAAGCUGAGGAAAAAAGGGAUAGAAGCAGAAGGAGCUAAAUACAAUUGAGAAGAAGGUAAUGUGGUAUAACCUACAGUCACAAAGCCAGCGAUGACAAAGAAAGGGUAGCCUCAAAAAUUUGCAUUACCAACAUUUGUUAUCACUUGGUUUGUUGUGAAGGAUUUUUUAUGCAUCUAUGCAAGAAGUGGUUUUGCUCUUAUAGCUGCCAGAAGCGGUUUUGUUCUUAUAACGUUCCAAAUAUAGCAAUGAUUCUUCAAGGAGAGGGACAAAACUAAACAAGUGGUUUUGCAGUGACUGACAACUUAGUUAUGUUGUUG